UGUGAGUUUAACACUUCAUGACUGAGAGCUGUCCUUCAUGACAACAGAACCUACAACAACCAUGACUUUUAUCACCAUCUUUAUCUGGACACUUGCUUUCUGCUUCAAGGAAUCUAGAGGACAGAUCACUGUGACUCAGACACCUACAGUGAAAACUGUUCUCCCCGGACAGCCAGUCUCUAUGAACUGUAAAGCCAGCAGUGAUGUGUAUCCUGACUGUUGGAGUUCAGGUAAACCAUGUUUAGCCUGGUAUCAACAGAAACCUGGAGGCGCUCCUAAACUACUGGUCUACUAUGGAAGCACCCUCUUCUCUGGGACUCCAUCUAGAUUCAGUGGCACUGGAUCUGGGAGUGACUUCACUCUGACCAUCAGUGGAGUCCAGGCUGAAGAUGCAGGAUAUUACUACUGUCAGAGUUACCACAGUGGUAAUGUGUUCACACAGUGAUACAGAGCCGUACAAAAACAUCUCAGUCAGACUGCACAGUGACUGUACUGAUACAGCUGGGACCUACUACAGGUGCUGAGGGGGAAGAGACAGUGACAUGGAACACUGAGCAGUAGAUGCGGUCAACUGUGGAAUGACAAUAUGGUUAGAAAGCAAUCAUUCUAUCAAGGCACAAGGCUCGUAGACACAAGAGGCAGAUGGUUGGAGUCUUACAAUG
Non-coding RNA from Oncorhynchus mykiss (rainbow trout), 662 nucleotides. The record is from the annotation of a RefSeq genome assembly. NCBI's taxonomy places the organism in Eukaryota, Metazoa, Chordata, Actinopteri, Salmoniformes, Salmonidae.